UACAGCGAUGGGCACGUGUCGCGAGCCCACAUUUCAGAAAAUUUCAGAUUUCUUCUCUCUGCUCUUUCUUUCUCUCUCUUUUCAGAUUCGUCCCUCCUCUCUCUCCUCUCUCUCUUUCUGUUUAGCACUUACUUUUUUUUCUUUCCUCUUGCGUCCACCAUGGCUUGAGCUCAAGCCCAAGGCUCAUGGCUGCUUUGGCCACGGAGCUCGACCUCAAACCCGGAGCUUGGGUCGCCUUGGCCGCUCGAGCUCGUGGCAAUGGCCACUUGAGCUUUGAGCUCGUCCCCAUGGUUACCUGAAGUCUUGAGCGAAGAUGCCAUUGCCACGAGAGCAGGUGUUGUCGAAGGCCUUGACUUUUGAAAUCGAGGAGGUGAGAUCGAGCGGGAGGUUGAGAUUGAGCGGGAACGAUGGAGAGUUGCAGGGCCGAAUGCGAGUCGGGAGGGAGAGCGAGAGACUUAUGGAGAGUUGUAGAGCUGAAUUGCAAGUCGGGCGGGAGGGACAAAGAGUUGCAGAGCUUCGUCGAGAGUCCGAGCAGGAGGGAUGGAGAGUUGCAGAGCUGAAUGCGACUCGAGAAGGAGAGAGAGAAAGGGAAGAGAGCGCGUCGCUUUUCUCAGACAAGGGAGGGAGAGAGAUGCCGUGAAGGAGAGAGAGAGAGAGAGACGCCGCCAAAGCAAUGAGUUUGAAAAAUUUUCUGGCAGUCGGCCCGUGACGACACGUGUCCAACGCUGAAUGGACUGUGCACAUCCGACAUGGCAUCACUGUGGUACCUAAUAUUUUCUCCGAACUUCUGGGUCCUCUCUCUUCAUUGAAGACGCACUCUCUCUGCCUUCAUAUUUUUUUUCAAAAUUCACUUUGCGUCCUCUCUCCCUUCGUUGAAGAUAUACUCUCUCUUCCCUUUUUUAGCAAAAUUUGCCCCUCUCUCUCUCUCUCCCAAACUCAAUCUGCCUCCUGCACGUCGCCUCCGGGAGCCCCAUUGGUGGCUACGACUCUUCCGAGAGCCCGUGCCGGUCGCUGGGCGAUUAGAGGAACUUGUUAAUGAAUUUUUAGAAGUUGAGAGCAAGGUGUCAAUUCUUCAUAUCUUUCCUAUUUUGACUUCACAAGCUUUAUUCUGGUUGAUUUUUUGGCUGGUUGUCUCUCGUUCUCAUUUUAGGCUGCAGAGGCCCAAGAAGCACUCGAAAAGGAAUCGUUUGCCAGAUUGGAGGGUGAAGUUAGAGCAGAGCUGGCUCAAACUUAUGAUGGGGAUGAUUUGAGUCUUUGCUCUUAUAUUGUGCACUCAAGGUCUUCGUCUGCGAAGUUUGUCUUGGGAACUACUUUAACUCUUUUUCUCCUUUAACAGUCGGAGAAGGCUGUUGCAGAUGUAUAGGGAAGAGUGGCAAGCUCAACCUGAUGAGCUUUGAGACCGAGAGUGCUCACUUACUGAUUAAGAAAAUGCUCGCCUCCGCCUCCAAAGCCCCAUCGGUGGCUUUUCCUCUAGGAGCCCCGCUGUCAUGGCGUUUGUGCUCGCGAAGGCUGAGCAAGAAGGUUAGUCCUCGAUUAGGCCGUGCCCUCGAUUGCUGGUGCUCCAUUGCUCCAUCUCGUGGAGUCUGUCCUCGAUUCAACUACAAAAACUCUGGCUAACAAAGGUUCGCUCGUGGUUAGUUAGUUACUUCGCCCGUAUAAGGUUAUCCGAGGGCUAAAUAAGUCAUCCUGAACUUAUACUGUGCGAAAGAUACUUGCUUUCUCUAGAAAUGGAUGAUAUAUUAUUUUGCUUGUAAA
Molecule: long non-coding RNA, 1755 nt
Organism: Syzygium oleosum
Lineage: Eukaryota; Viridiplantae; Streptophyta; Magnoliopsida; Myrtales; Myrtaceae
Exons: 2
Source: RefSeq, a predicted model, not a curated record